UACGUAGGGGGCAAGCGUUGUCCGGAUUUACUGGGUGUAAAGGGCGCGCAGGCGGACUGACAAGUCAGAGGUGAAAUCCUGCAGCUUAACUGCAGAACUGCCUUUGAAACUGUCAGUCUUGAGUACGGAAGAGAGAGACGGAAUUCCAGGUGUAGUGGUGAAAUACGUAGAUAUCUGGAAGAACACCAGUUGCGAAGGCGGUCUCUUGGUCCGUUACUGACGCUCAGGCGCGAAAGCGUGGGUAGCAAACAGG
Molecule: ribosomal RNA, 253 nt
Filed under: uncultured bacterium
Lineage: Bacteria
Description: partial 16S ribosomal RNA
Rfam family: Bacterial small subunit ribosomal RNA
Source: RNAcentral